GCAGGGAUUGCCCUAGUAACGGCGAGUGAAGCGGCAACAGCUCAAAUUUGAAAUCUGGCGUCUUUGGCGUCCGAGUUGUAAUUUGCAGAGGGCGCUUUGGCAUUGGCAGCGGUCCAAGUUCCUUGGAACAGGACGUCACAGAGGGUGAGAAUCCCGUACGUGGUCGCUAGCCUUUACCGUGUAAAGCCCCUUCGACGAGUCGAGUUGUUUGGGAAUGCAGCUCUAAAUGGGAGGUAAAUUUCUUCUAAAGCUAAAUACUGGCCAGAGACCGAUAGCGCACAAGUAGAGUGAUCGAAAGAUGAAAAGCACUUUGGAAAGAGAGUUAAAAAGCACGUGAAAUUGUUGAAAGGGAAGCGCUUGCAGCCAGACUUGCCUGUAGUUGCUCAUCCGGGUUUUUACCCGGUGCACUCUUCUAUAGGCAGGCCAGCAUCAGUUUGGGCGGUUGGAUAAAGGUCUCUGUCAUGUACCUCCUUUCGGGGAGAUCUUAUAGGGGAGACGACAUGCAACCAGCCUGGACUGAGGUCCGCGCAUCUGCUAGGAUGCUGGCGUAAUGGCUGUAAGCGGCCCGUCUUGAAACACGGACCAAGGAGUCUAACAUCUAUGCGAGUGUUUGGGUGUCAAGCCCGAACGCGUAAUGAAAGUGAACGGAGGUGGGAACCUUUCGGGGUGCACCAUCGACCGAUCCUGAUGUCUUCGGAUGGAUUUGAGUAAGAGCAUAGCUGUUGGGACCCGAAAGAUGGUGAACUAUGCUUGAAUAGGGUGAAGCCAGAGGAAACUCUGGUGGAGGCUCGCAGCGGUUCUGACGUGCAAAUCGAUCGUCAAAUUUGGGCAUAGGGGCGAAAGACUAAUCGAACUAUCUAGUAGCUGGUUCCUGCG
Molecule: ribosomal RNA, 876 nt
Filed under: Stagonosporopsis ailanthicola
Lineage: Eukaryota; Fungi; Ascomycota; Dothideomycetes; Pleosporales; Didymellaceae
Description: eukaryotic LSU rRNA
Rfam family: Eukaryotic large subunit ribosomal RNA
Source: RNAcentral